Molecule: unclassified non-coding RNA, 2110 nt
Filed under: Daphnia pulex (common water flea)
Lineage: Eukaryota; Metazoa; Arthropoda; Branchiopoda; Diplostraca; Daphniidae
Description: leucine-rich repeat flightless-interacting protein 2- like, transcript variant X2
Source: RNAcentral
CUCCGUUUAGGGAGGGUGAGAAUGUGAGAUGGCUCCAUCUACCAUGUCGCUGUGUAUGUGAAUAGCCUUAGUAGUAAUAUCAUCAUAUCAACGCCCAAUUCCGUUUGUGACUCUUGUCAAAUAUUAUUAUUGAGAACAAAAUUGAGAACAAAAUAUUGACGGCACUUUAUAAACAUUUAUUCGGGUCUUGGAAAUAUAGCAAUGCUCACCUGGUUGCCUAUUUCUAAACAAUAAGUUCAACUAAAUUCUAUCUGUCUGUAAACAUUCAAAAUCAAAAUGGAUAGUGUUGGUAAUAUUGGUAGUAGAAAACGUGUGGCAGGAAAUCAUUAUUCUGCAGAAGAACAGGCUCUGGAUCAGAUUGCUAAAGAGGCAGAGUCUAGGCUUGUUGCAAGACGACUGGCCAGAGCUGAAGCACGUGACAUUCGUAUGAGAGAACUUGAAAAGCAGCAGAAAGAAAUGGAAGAAAAUGCUGAUCGCCAGUUUACUGCAGACAGUAGCAUGGAUAUAAACCCAAAGAUACCAGUUAGUAGAACUGUUAGCACUGGUGUACCUCUAGCAGGGAAUAACAGACCAAUACUUGGAAGUACUGGUAGCUUUCAAUCCAGUCGCCGUGGUUCAGAAGACUCAACUGAUGAAAAUCCUGGCCAGUCAAUGACAUUACGAGAUCUUAGGCAAGAACUCAAGGAAUUGGAAGAAAAGUUCCGAAAAGCAAUGGUUCAGAAUGCCCAAUCUGAUAAUGAAAAAGCUUCAUUGAUGUAUCAGGUGGAGCUAUUCAAAGACAAAAUAGAAGAUAUGGAUGAAGCUUAUGCACUCCUUCAGAAAGAACACAAAGACAAGCAUCGCGAAUGUGAAGAUUCGAAGAGGGAAAUGAUGAGAAUUCAGCAAGAGCUUAAUUACAACCGCUAUAUUCUUGAGGAACGUGAUAAAAUGAUUCAGGAACAUGGAUUAGUCAUUGUCGGUGAAGAUGAGGAUAGUGAUGAAAAUACGACCACUGCUGUACGAAAGACUCCAAAGAAAGUCUUAGUUUCCACUGAUGUAGCUUCUUUAUUGGAAAAGGCGGGUGAUGGAUCACUCGAUGUACGGAUACGGAGAUUGACUGAAGAGAAAAACGAGUUAUGUGAUCAGCUGAGGCGUGUUAAACUGGAUUUAGAAGAGGAACGCACAAAAUCCAUGUAUCGAGAUAGGCCGAUUUCUAGCGCUCCUGGAUUACCUAACGGUCCAAUCGGCGAUCUUUCAGAAUGGCAGAAGGAAGCAGUUGCCAAACAGGUUAAUGACUACAAAAUAAAGCUUCAGAAAGCAGAUCAAGAAAUCGCAACUCUUCAAGCAACGGUUGCUCGGCUGGAGACACAAGUUACUCGCUUUAGAGUGACCGCUGAAACGUUAGAAAAAUCUGAAGAUGAACUAAAAGUGGAAAAACGUAAACUUCAAAGAGAGCUACGAGAGGUCAAACAGCUCCUUGAUGAAACGGAUACGGCGCGUCGUACGCUGCAGCGCCAGUAUGAUAAGCUGAAACAUGGGCGAUAAACCUACUUUCGCUCAACCGUGAAUAGUUUCAUUGCCCAUUUUAAGAAAAUAUGGACUGUCACGAUGUAGGAUUACGUUCAAGUUAAGAGAAACUCAGACCAAAAUGGAAGAACUUGAAACAUCACACAACCAUUUACAGCGACGACUAGAUAAACUGAAAACCGCAAAAUCAGCUCUUUUGAAAGAAAUUUAAAUUCAUUUUUUCUACAUCUUAUUACCUAGCCUUAUACUCGUUAUUUAUUUCCGCUGGAGAUGGAAUUAAAACAACGCCGUUGCUCGGGGCUACGCUUCCCCAUAUUGAUUGUGUGCGAGGAAAUCUGUAUUGUCGAAUUAUCCCAUGUCGACGCAUUUAAUUUAAUUCGCCAGUGCUCUUUACGUCAUUUACCGUGUGCUAGAGAGUGUGUUGCUUAAUUGAAUCGGUUGAAGCAGAUCUUAGUUGCUGAUUGUCUGUAGAAGAAGAGAGUACCAUUUUCUUUUGUUUAACCUUGCAAGCAUGUUUUAACCAAUUAAAAACUAGUGGUAUUGCUAUUGUACGGCUUGUGACAUGAAAAUGCAAUGAACAUUCUAAAUAGAAAAACGAAAUUAA